Molecule: long non-coding RNA, 122 nt
Organism: Solanum tuberosum (potato)
Lineage: Eukaryota; Viridiplantae; Streptophyta; Magnoliopsida; Solanales; Solanaceae
Exons: 2
Source: RefSeq, a predicted model, not a curated record
CUCCUCUUCUCUUCAAUCUCCAAUAGCCAAAAAGCUAGAAGGUAAAGUAGCACUUAUAACUGGUGGUGCUAGUGGCAUAGGAGCAGCUACCGCUAGACUUUUUAUUCAACAUGGUGCAAAAG